ACCAGGAUGGUCAGGUGGUUAAGGCAUUGGACGUAAGAUUCAAUGGACAUAUGUCUACAUGGGUUCAAACCCCACUCCUGGUA
This is a non-coding RNA of Bos taurus (domestic cattle), 83 nucleotides long. The record is from Rfam. NCBI's taxonomy places the organism in Eukaryota, Metazoa, Chordata, Mammalia, Artiodactyla, Bovidae.